This 1217-nucleotide ribosomal RNA is filed under the name uncultured Rhizaria. RNAcentral's name for it is "SSU rRNA". It matches the Rfam family "Eukaryotic small subunit ribosomal RNA", at positions 577 to 1804 of the family's 1831-position model. The record is from RNAcentral.
CGGUAAUUCCAGCUCCAAUAGCGUAUACUAAAGUUGUUGCAGUUAAAAAGCUCGUAGUUGGAUUUCUGCGGGGACGGAGCGGCCGGACGCAACUUGCGUCUCGAGCUAGCGCUUUCCCCGCAUCCUGCCGCGAACCGUGCUACCAUUAGUUUGGUGGCGCUGGGGAUCGGCUCGAUUACUUUGAGAAAAAUAGAGUGUUCAAAGCAGGCCACACGCCUUGAAUAAGUUAGCAUGGAAUAAUGACUAAGGACUUCGGUUCUAUUUUGUUGGUGUUCGGGACUGAAGUAAUGAUUGAUAGGGACAGUUGGGGCGGUCUGUAUUCCAAAGCGAGAGGUGAAAUUCUUAGACCUUCAGAAGACAAACAGCUGCGAAAGCGUUCCGCAAGGAUGUUCCCUUUGAUCAAGAACGAAAGUUGGGGGAUCGAAGACGAUCAGAUACCGUCGUAGUCUCAACUAUAAACUAUACCAGCUAGGGAUCGGUCAACGUUUAAUUAUUCGACUUGAUCGGCACCUUAUGAGAAAUCAAAGCAUCUGGGUUCCGGGGGGAGUAUGGUCGCAAGGCUGAAACUUAAAGGAAUUGACGGAAGGGCACCACCAGCCGUGGAGCCUGUGGCUUAAUUUGACUCAACACGGGAAAACUUACCAGGUCCAGACAUAGUAAGGAUUGGCAGAUUGAUAGCUCUUUCUUGAUUCUGUGGGUGGUGGUGCAUGGCCGUUCUUAGUUGGUGGAGUGAUUUGUCUGGUUAAUUCCGUUAACGAACGAGACCCCAGCCUGCUAAAUAGCGCGGUUGAGCUUUGCUCGAUGCGAACUUCUUAGAGGGACUAUGAUGCGCGAUAGCACAUGGAAGUUUGGGGCAAUAACAGGUCUGUGAUGCCCUUAGAUGUUCUGGGCCGCACACGGGCUACACUGGCGCCUGCAACGAGCAUAUCAGCUGGCCCGAGAGGGUCUUGGCUAAUCUUUUGAACCGGCGCCGUGCUUGGGAUUGACCUUUGCAAUUGUUGGUCAUGCAACGAGGAAUGCCUUGUAAACGCGAGUCAUCAGCUCGCAUUGAAUACGUCCCUGCCCUUUGUACACACCGCCCGUCGCUCCUACCGAUGAAUGUUCCGAUGAAAUUUUCGGAGAGCGCCAGAGAACGGGGCUCCGCCUUGCAGAUCUGGAGGCUCAAAGUCACUUAAAUCUGAACAUUUCGAGGAAGGAGAAGUCGUAACAAGGUAACC